RNAcentral lists this ribosomal RNA (552 nucleotides) under uncultured bacterium. RNAcentral describes it as "bacterial SSU rRNA". It matches the Rfam family "Bacterial small subunit ribosomal RNA", at positions 102 to 674 of the family's 1533-position model. The record is from RNAcentral.
ACGGGUGAGUAACACGUAGAAAAUCUACCUCGAGGAAGGGGACAACAGUUGGAAACGACUGCUAAUACCCUAUAUGAGCUAGGCUGAAAUGCCUAUCUUGAAAGUUCCGGCGCCUUGAGAUGAGUCUGCGUCUGAUUAGCUUGUUGGUGGGGUAAAGGCCUACCAAGGCGACGAUCAGUAGCUGGUUUGAGAGGAUGACCAGCCACAAUGGGACUGAGACACGGCCCAUACUCCUACGGGAGGCAGCAGUAGGGAAUUUUGCGCAAUGGCCGAAAGCCUGACGCAGCAACACCGCGUGAACGACGAAGCCCUUCGGGGUGUAAAGUUCUGUCAGUAGGGACGAAUUUUGACGGUACCUACAAAGGAAGCAUCGGCUAACUACGUGCCAGCAGCCGCGGUAAGACGUAGGAUGCAAGCGUUGUCCGGAAUCAUUGGGCGUAAAGCGUUCGUAGGCGGCAUGUCAAGUCUGAUGUUAAAGCCCGGAGCUCAACUCCGGUUCGGCAUUGGAUACUGGCAAGCUAGAGUGCAAUAGAGGUAGGGGGAAUUCCUAGU